GGAAGCCAGGGUGGGGAUCCCAGGUCAUGCCAGACAGGAGCUGAGAAAAUAUUGAAGGAAAGAUGAGAAAUUUCACAUCCACUUCUACUGAACAUGGAGCCAAAGCUUGGGAACAGGCUUUGCCUGUCUUCCCCUUGUCUCUGUCUACCCAGUGGAAAAAAGUGCUGUGACCAUCUCCUCUGGAAAACUGGGAAAAUGCCGAAGCAAGUCUCAGCAUGUUCUACAGUCUCACUCUGAAAUGCUGUUGAGACUGCAAAGGAGCCAUGGUAGGGUGUUACCUAGCCAUCAAAGCUGCUACAUCCCAAUGAAAUGCUUUAAUUUUAUCUUUCCUGAGUUCUGAAUCCUAGUCAUUUCGGAUGAUAAUUCAGUAUCUCAACAGAGGUGAUAGAGUUGCUGACAAUUGUGCAUAACAACAAAUAUGUUGAGUUUUAA
RNAcentral lists this long non-coding RNA (432 nucleotides) under Numida meleagris (helmeted guineafowl). RNAcentral's name for it is "lncRNA (ENSNMEG00000010711.1)". Lineage: Eukaryota; Metazoa; Chordata; Aves; Galliformes; Numididae. The record is from RNAcentral.